This is a long non-coding RNA of Lagenorhynchus albirostris (white-beaked dolphin), 415 nucleotides long. RefSeq lists it as uncharacterized. The record is from RefSeq and is a predicted model, not a curated record. NCBI's taxonomy places the organism in Eukaryota, Metazoa, Chordata, Mammalia, Artiodactyla, Delphinidae. The transcript is spliced from 3 exons.
AAGACAAAUCUCUCUGGUAGAAAAAUUUCAUAUAAUUUAUGUAGAUACGUCACCCGCAUGGAGGAGAUUCAUGCAUCCCCACUCUUUAAGUGUGAGCUGUGCGUGGUGAAUUCCUUCCAAAGAAUACAGUAUGAAAAUAUGGGAAGAAAAAGAGCCACCUUGCAGUGGAGAACUCUGACAAACACUAUCACAACCAGGUGAUCAAGAGAAAAGACAGUCCACUGUCUUAUGUCAAUCACUGAAAGAAAAGGAAUACAUGAAAUUAAGAAGAAUUAGAGAAACUAUACAAAUACUGGUAAAUUUUGAGGACCAGCCACUGCACAGGACCAGAGACUGUACAGGAGCAGCAGAGACCCACUGGACCUGAAGGCCAAGUGGACAGACAGAGACAACAGACACCUCAGAGGCAAUGGGG